Molecule: long non-coding RNA, 897 nt
Filed under: Rattus norvegicus (Norway rat)
Lineage: Eukaryota; Metazoa; Chordata; Mammalia; Rodentia; Muridae
Description: long non-coding RNA NONRATT001825
Source: RNAcentral
CGGCGGGGGCGGCGGGAAGACCUGGUUACUUAAAGGUGUGCGCUGCCACCACCCAGCUCUAGCGGACAGUUUUACUGUUCAUUAUCAGUACCUAUGAUGCGCUGUGCGUCGCCGAAUGCUCGUUUUCUACAGCUGGCAGCCAGUGUGGCGUUGACUCCAGGAGCAACACAAACACUCGGUUACUACCAAGUUAUUUUGGCUGCUGUGCCACGAGACAAUAGCAGGCGUUAUGUAUCUGGGCUUGGGCUAUGUUGUGGGUUCUUCUUUCUUCCACCCUUUUCAACCGGUUUCCACCUUUCCAAUCCCCUAACUCUGGACAGGAGAGAAAAAAGAGAGAGAGGGGAAAGGGGGCCAUGUUAUUGCUAGACUACCUCCUGCUGAUUAGGGGUGUUGAGCUCCUUGGGUCCAGUUUGAUCUUUGCUGUCCAGAAAUCUAAUUUCCUGUUGUUUCUUCUUUGUGCAUGACUACUUAACAAACUGAGACCAGCGGGGGUACUUUUGUGGUUUUUUUUUUUAAAAGAAAGCAAAAUUCCAAAAUCGUCCCUAGGGCUUUAUUUUUUGGGACCACCAUCAUUUAUGUGGUGUGUUCUUUUCCCUUUAUUUCCAGGCAGGGUCUCAUUGUAUAGUUCUGGCUGGCCUGGAACUUGCCAGGUACAUCAGGCUGACCUGGAACCCAGAGAUCUCCUUGCCAUUGCUUUCUGAUUGAAGGCAUGAGCCACCACAGUGCAAUGCCUGCAUUUUUCUGGUUUUUUGUUUUUGUUUUUGUUUUUUUUUUUUUUUAUAGCAAAUCAUGGUAUCUCGUGUUUCUUGUCAUCCUGAGUCAAUGUUAAAUCGUGCCCAGGUGACAGUAUUAGGCUUCUUUUCUUUUGAUGCAGAGAAUUGAACCCUAAAGAAGCAU